AGCGAACGCUGGCGGCGUGCCUAACACAUGCAAGUCGAACGUGAAAGGGAGCAAUCCCAAGUAAAGUGGCGUACGGGUGAGUAACACGUAGGUAAUCUACCCCAGAAUCUGGAAUAACCGGCCGAAAGACUGGCUAAUACUGGAUAGAGCGACGGAAUCCGUAAUUGGGUUUUUCGGGAAAGGGAGCCUGUAAAAAGGCCUUCGUUCUGGGAUGAGCCUGCGUCCCAUCAGCUAGUUGGUGAGGUAAAAGCUUACCAAGGCAAUGACGGGUAGCUGGUCUGAGAGGACGAUCAGCCACACUGGAACUGAAACACGGUCCAGACUCCUACGGGAGGCAGCAGUGGGGAAUCUUGCGCAAUGGACGAAAGUCUGACGCAGCAACGCCGCGUGAGUGAAGAAGGCCUUCGGGUUGUAAAGCUCUGUCGAGUGGGACGAAAAUGCUUGGAGUUCACAGCUCCAGGAACUGACGGUACCACUAAAGGAAGCACCGGCUAACUCCGUG
Molecule: ribosomal RNA, 502 nt
Filed under: uncultured bacterium
Lineage: Bacteria
Description: partial 16S ribosomal RNA
Rfam family: Bacterial small subunit ribosomal RNA
Source: RNAcentral